This 494-nucleotide ribosomal RNA is filed under the name uncultured bacterium. Its description in RNAcentral is "partial 16S ribosomal RNA". It matches the Rfam family "Bacterial small subunit ribosomal RNA", at positions 28 to 507 of the family's 1533-position model. The record is from RNAcentral.
GACGAACGCUGGCGGCGCGCUUAACACAUGCAAGUCGAACGGAAAGGCCUGCUUUCCCUUGUGGAUUGCGGGUACUCGAGUGGCGAACGGGUGAGUAACACGUGAGUGAUCUGCCCCCAACUUGGGUAUAAGCCUGGGAAACUGGGUCUAAUUCCCGAUAGGACUGCAGGGUGGUGCCUGUGGUGGAAAACGAUUUUCUAGUGGUUGGGGAUGAGCUCGCGGCCUAUCAGCUUGUUGGUGGGGUAAUGGCCUACCAAGGCGGCGACGGGUAGCCGGCCUGAGAGGGUGGACGGCCACAUUGGGACUGAGAUACGGCCCAGACUCCUACGGGAGGCAGCAGUGGGGAAUAUUGCACAAUGGGCGGAAGCCUGAUGCAGCGACGCCGCGUGGGGGAUGACGGCCUUCGGGUUGUAAACUCCUUUCGACCGCGAGGAAGCCACCUGGUUGGAAGGGUGGUGACGGUAGUGAUAGAAGAAGCACCGGCUAACUACGUG